CCAAUAGCGUAUAUUAAAGUUGUUGCAGUUAAAAAGCUCGUAGUUGAAUUUCGGGAUUUAUCCGUCGGUCGGGCUUUUGGGUCUGUACUGGCGUGAUGGAUUUCUACCUUCUGAAUAACCGGCAUGUCAUUAAUUUGGUGCGCCGGGGAAGCAGGACUGUUACCUUGAAAAAAUUAGAGUGCUUAAAGCAGGCUAUUGCCUGAAUACAUUAGCAUGGAAUAAUGAAAUAGGACGGCAUGGUUCUAUUUUGUUGGUUUCUAGGAUCACCGUAAUGAUUAAUAGGGAUAGUUGGGGGCAUUAGUAUUCAAUUGUCAGAGGUGAAAUUCUUGGAUUUAUUGAAGACUAACUUCUGCGAAAGCAUUUGCCAAGGAUGUUUUCAUUAAUCAAGAACGAAAGUUAGGGGAUCGAAGACGAUCAGAUACCGUCGUAGUCUUAACCAUAAACUAUGCCGACUAGGGAUCGGACGAUGUUAAUUUUUUAAUGACUCGUUCGGCGCCUUACG
This 502-nucleotide ribosomal RNA is filed under the name uncultured Acaulospora. RNAcentral's name for it is "SSU rRNA". It matches the Rfam family "Eukaryotic small subunit ribosomal RNA", at positions 591 to 1092 of the family's 1831-position model. The record is from RNAcentral. Lineage: Eukaryota; Fungi; Glomeromycota; Glomeromycetes; Diversisporales; Acaulosporaceae.